AGAGAAAGAAACUAGGAGAGAGAACGAGGGAAGAAGAAUGAGAGAGAGGAAGAGAGAGGAUAUUUAGAGAAACAUGGAACGAACUCAUCUGGAAGUAACUUUUCACUGUAGUCCGGUUAAUCUUUGGGUGUGAGUAGUUAGAGCGUUUUGUUGACUCGGGUGCAAAAUACGAUUUAGGUUCUGAAGCUGUGGAGUUUAAAAAUCCUUAAACAAAUCGCGUCACUUUUUGAGAGGCAGAGAUGCCCUUGUUUGUAGGAGUAACUUCAAUUAUUUUCAUUCUUGUCUAAUGAUCACUUUGCUGUCUUUGUGGAAGAAGAAAAGAAAGCUUAUAUCAGCAGCGAUCGUUCCAGAAUUAGCAGCUUCUCCAUCCAGCCCUGUGGACUGUGGAACAGAGCUCCACACACACGCACCUGUAGUUCAGAAUCCCUGGUGAGGGUGAGCGCAGCAGCAACAACAGUCAUGAAUGAGGAGAUGUCGUCUAUAUACCCGCGCACCAAGGAGCUGUCCAGGACAAGGAAGUCUCUUUCAGACUCAUCACCACCCUCCUCACCCUCUCCCACCGCCAAGAACUUCAGACAUGAACGGGCAUCCAGGUCGAACAGUGGGGACAGCAGGGCCGAACCUCUGGGCAGAACCAGCUCCUACACACGCAGGGAGACCAGACUGGCAUCAGUGUCCAAGCAGGAGGAUGACUCAAGCCCCAGGGACUACAAGAAGAUGUAUGAAAAAGCUUUGGCAGAAAAUGACAAGCUGAAGUCACGGCUGGAUGAGAGCAAACAGGAGCUGGCCAAGAUCCGCAUCCAGCUCGACAGAGUUGCCCAGAAACAGGACAGAAUAUCGGAAAGAUCCAAUGUACUUGAGUCAGAGAAAAGGGAAAAACAGGCUCUGGAGAAGAGGGUAACAGACAUGGAGGAAGAGCUUAAGCAGGGAACCCCCCCAGUGCGAAACUUCCGCUGUGGGUACCAGCCCUGAACCCUAACCCCGGGGCAGGCUGGCUCAGGGCAGGGUAGGGGGGGGCCCGGGAUGGUCCUAACAGAGCUCAAAUCAGAUAACCAGAGACUGAAGGACGAGAACGGGGCUCUUAUCCGUGUCAUCAGCAAGCUGUCCAAAUAACAGGGUGGAUGCCCUUUGUCCAGAGCCACAGGGUACUUCCCUGUCACCAUCAUCAGACCCCGCCCACUGAGAGUACACCAUGGUUCUUAAUGACACCUGUCACCAUCUAAAUGCUCUCAGAGGUAUGGUGAGGAACAUUCGAAUUCCUGAUGACCCCUUGAUAUCUGUGCUCAUAAGACCAACUCCAGUCCCGGGAGGUCAAAGGUGAGCGGAAGAGCACACAGUGUGUGAGAGUGUUGACCUGGAGUCCAGUCAGUUCAGAACCAGCAUUCUCUUUAUCGCACAUCAACAUAUUUAUACCUUACAUAUGAGUGUAUUCAGUUAUUUUGUGCUAAAUUGUGCACUGCAAAAAAACAUAUUUCUUUUGCUUAUCCUCAAACAAUAGGCCCACUCCUAUUGUGUUUCUUUCAAUAACCUUUCAUGACACUGAUACCAUUACACAAUGCCAUUCAUGUUUCCACUAUCUUGUGUUAUGAGGUGUUUAUAAUCUAUAGUUCGUAGUUCAAUUAAAAUCCACAUUUCCAUCACAGACCAUGUUCUCUGAGCUUCUCAUCAAACAUUUACUGUUUUGCAGACAUUUUGUGCGGCCUACAUGGUAGGCUGCUAUGUUAUUUGGAUAUUUGUUUGUAUUUAUUUAUUUUAUCUUUAUACUUAACAUAACUAUAUUUUAACUAAAACAUUAUUGAUAACCUCCCAAAGCACUCAAUGAAACAGUAACAUUACAGUCCAAAUAGUGCCUCCUGUUAUGAGACGGAAAGCAUCUUUUUUUACUCAAGGUCAAAGGAAUUACAUGAUUUGUAAUGCAGAUGGCUCAAGGAACAACACACAAGGGCUUUCUUUACAUUUACUGUAAGUCAUUUAACAGAUUAUUUCAUUCAAAGCUAAUUACGGGAGCUAUUAAGUGCCUUGCUCAAAGGCGCAACAACAUCAUUUUCACCUCGUCCGCCAUUGGAUUGGAACCAGCUACCUUUGGGUUACCAGUGGGUUACACAGUGCUCUGGCCACUAGGCUUUCUGCCCCCUCUUAUAUGUGUAAUACAUGUGCCUUUCCUAAAAGACCGAUGAAGGUAUCUGUCUACACAGUAUUUUACGUUGAAACAACUCUGCCGUCUACGUAUGUAUGUAUUGUCAACUCAAAUUGUACUUGUACACAUGCUGUUUGAUCACUCGCUCAAUAAAUACUAGAUGAUUAAACGUGA
Esox lucius (northern pike) is the source of this 2311-nucleotide RNA transcript. It is a transcript of the gene named protein phosphatase 1 regulatory subunit 12B, with no coding region annotated. The record is from RefSeq and is a predicted model, not a curated record. NCBI's taxonomy places the organism in Eukaryota, Metazoa, Chordata, Actinopteri, Esociformes, Esocidae. The transcript is spliced from 9 exons.